This 496-nucleotide ribosomal RNA is filed under the name uncultured bacterium. RNAcentral describes it as "partial 16S ribosomal RNA". It matches the Rfam family "Bacterial small subunit ribosomal RNA", at positions 28 to 506 of the family's 1533-position model. The record is from RNAcentral.
GAUGAACGCUGGCGGCGUGCCUAAUACAUGCAAGUCGAGCGAACAGACGAGGAGCUUGCUCCUCUGACGUUAGCGGCGGACGGGUGAGUAACACGUGGAUAACCUACCUAUAAGACUGGGAUAACUUCGGGAAACCGGAGCUAAUACCGGAUAAUAUAUUGAACCGCAUGGUUCAAUAGUGAAAGACGGUUUUGCUGUCACUUAUAGAUGGAUCCGCGCCGCAUUAGCUAGUUGGUAAGGUAACGGCUUACCAAGGCAACGAUGCGUAGCCGACCUGAGAGGGUGAUCGGCCACACUGGAACUGAGACCCGGUCCAGACCCCUACGGGAGGCAGAAGUAGGGAAUCUUCCGCAAUGGGCGAAAGCCUGACGGAGCAACGCCGCGUGAGUGAUGAAGGUCUUCGGAUCGUAAAACCCUUUUAUUAGGGAAGAACAAAUGUGUAAGUAACUAUGCACGUCUUGACGGUACCUAAUCAGAAAGCCACGGCUAACUACGU